Molecule: ribosomal RNA, 406 nt
Filed under: uncultured bacterium
Lineage: Bacteria
Description: partial 16S ribosomal RNA
Rfam family: Bacterial small subunit ribosomal RNA
Source: RNAcentral
AUUGAACGCUGGCGGCAGGCCUAACACAUGCAAGUCGAACGAGUGGCGGACGGGUGAGUAAUGUCUGGGAAACUGCCCGAUGGAGGGGGGUAACUACUGGAAACGGUAGCUAAUACCGCAUACCAUCGGAUGUGCCCAGAUGGGAUUAGCUAGUAGGUGGGGUAACGGCUCACCGAGGCGACGAUCCCUAGCUGGUCUGAGAGGAUGACCAGCCACACUGGAACUGAGACACGGUCCAGACUCCUACGGGAGGCAGCAGUGGGGAAGAUUGCACAAUGGGCGCAAGCCUGAUGCAGCCAUGCCGCGUGUAUGAAGAAGGCCUUCGGGUUGUAAAGUACGUUCAGCGGGGAGGCGGUACUCGAAGAAGAAGCACCGGCUAACUCCGGGCCAGCAGCCGCGGUAAUAC